This 497-nucleotide ribosomal RNA is filed under the name uncultured bacterium. RNAcentral describes it as "partial 16S ribosomal RNA". It matches the Rfam family "Bacterial small subunit ribosomal RNA", at positions 28 to 507 of the family's 1533-position model. The record is from RNAcentral.
GAUGAACGCUGGCGGCGUGCCUAAUACAUGCCAGUCGAGCGAACGGACGAGAAGCUUGCUUCUCUGAUGUUAGCGGCGGACGGGUGAGUAACACGUGGAUAACCUACCUAUAAGACUGGGAUAACUUCGGGAAACCGGAGCUAAUACCGGAUAAUAUUUUGAACCGCAUGGUUCAAAAGUGAAAGACGGUCUUGCUGUCACUUAUAGAUGGAUCCGCGCUGCAUUAGCUAGUUGGUAAGGUAACGGCUUACCAAGGCAACGAUGCAUAGCCGACCUGAGAGGGUGAUCGGCCACACUGGAACUGAGACACGGUCCAGACUCCUACGGGAGGCAGCAGUAGGGAAUCUUCCGCAAUGGGCGAAAGCCUGACGGAGCAACGCCGCGUGAGUGAUGAAGGUCUUCGGAUCGUAAAACUCUGUUAUUAAGGAAGAACAUAUGUGUAAGUAACUGUGCACAUCUUGACGGUACCUAAUCAGAAAGCCACGGCUAACUACGUG